GAGGUUAAGCGAAUCCCAUAAAACCAUUCUCAGUUCGGAUUGCAGGCUGCAACUCGCCUGCAUGAAGCCGGAAUCGCUAGUAAUCGCGGAUCAGCAUGCCGCGGUGAAUACGUUCCCGGGCCUUGUACACACCGCCCGUCACACCACGAGAGUUUGUAACACCCGAAGUCGGUGGGGUAACCUUUUGGAGCCAGCCGCCUAAGGUGGGACAGAUGAUUGGGGUGAAGUCGUAACAAGGUAGCCGUAUCGGAAGGUGCGGCUGGAUCACCUCCUUUCUAAGGAA
Molecule: ribosomal RNA, 283 nt
Filed under: Cytobacillus firmus
Lineage: Bacteria; Bacillati; Bacillota; Bacilli; Caryophanales; Bacillaceae
Description: partial 16S ribosomal RNA
Rfam family: Bacterial small subunit ribosomal RNA
Source: RNAcentral